This 472-nucleotide ribosomal RNA is filed under the name Nocardia sp. RNAcentral's name for it is "bacterial SSU rRNA". It matches the Rfam family "Bacterial small subunit ribosomal RNA", at positions 9 to 498 of the family's 1533-position model. The record is from RNAcentral. Lineage: Bacteria; Bacillati; Actinomycetota; Actinomycetes; Mycobacteriales; Nocardiaceae.
GAGUUUGAUCCUGGCUCAGGACGAACGCUAGCGGCGUGCUUAACACAUGCAAGUCGAGCGGUAAGGCCCUUCGGGGUACACGAGCGGCGAACGGGUGAGUAACACGUGGGUGAUCUGCCUUGCACUUCGGGAUAAGCCUGGGAAACUGGGUCUAAUACCGGAUAUGACCACUGAUCGCAUGGUUAGUGGUGGAAAGAUUUAUCGGUGCGAGAUGGGCCCGCGGCCUAUCAGCUUGUUGGUGAGGUAACGGCUCACCAAGGCGACGACGGGUAGCCGACCUGAGAGGGUGACCGGCCACACUGGGACUGAGACACGGCCCAGACUCCUACGGGAGGCAGCAGUGGGGAAUAUUGCACAAUGGGCGAAAGCCUGAUGCAGCGACGCCGCGUGCGGGAUGACGGCCUUCGGGUUGUAAACCGCUUUUGACAGGGACGAAGCGCAAGUGACUGUACCUGUAGAAUAAGGACCGGCC